Molecule: microRNA precursor, 97 nt
Filed under: Oryctolagus cuniculus (rabbit)
Lineage: Eukaryota; Metazoa; Chordata; Mammalia; Lagomorpha; Leporidae
Description: mir-544 microRNA precursor family
Rfam family: mir-544 microRNA precursor family
Source: Rfam by way of RNAcentral
AUCACCUGGGGACUUGUUAAAAUGCAGAUUCUGAUUCAGUAGGUCUGGGGUGGGGCUUGAGAUUUUGCAUUUCUAACAAGUUCUCAAGUAAGAUCAU